This 879-nucleotide unclassified non-coding RNA is filed under the name Hevea brasiliensis (rubber tree). The record is from RNAcentral. Lineage: Eukaryota; Viridiplantae; Streptophyta; Magnoliopsida; Malpighiales; Euphorbiaceae.
AGCUGCAUUGCAGCAUUGUCAACGUACAUGUGUGAAAGUUCAACAUCAGGGUAUUCCGAAGCCAUCAUUGUCACUCUUCUCCGCCAUAGCAUAGAUGCCUCUAACACAUUUGCUUUGUCAACUGAGCAAAGUUUACCACGUCUUGUUCGAGCAACCUCAAAUGCCACUCUUGCAAUCCGAUCAAUCUCGGAUGCAGAAUAGACUUCAGUGUUGAAACCGAUCUCUUCACCAUUGUUAUUAGUAGCAAAACCCUUGGGUUCUCCAAAAUAAAUUCCUCCCGUAAGUUCUCUUACAACCAUGAUAUCAACCCCCUCUGCAAUCUCUCUCUUCAGAGUGGAUGCAUCAACUAGCUGCGGCAACACGGUUGCCGGCCUCAAGUUCGCAAACACCCCAAGCCCCGCCCGCAGCUGAAGCAGCCCCGUUUCAGGCUUCAGCUUCUUCUCAUUACCAUCCCAUUUAUACCCUCCCAUGGCCCCAAGCAGCACUCCAUCUGACUCCUUAGCCGCCUUCAGCGUCUCCUCCGGUAACGGCACACCAACCAAAUCCAACGCUGCGCCACCGACAGGCAUCUCACGGAAGCGGAACUCAAUCCCUUCAAGGGAGCCGGCGAGGGAGAGGACGGCCUUGGCGACGGAGAUGACCUCCGGGCCGAUGCCGUCACCAGGGAGAACGGUGACGGCGUAGCUUCUGGAGGGAGGCGCGGCUGAGCAGCGGGUGGCGGCAGCGCGCCGCCGCAGAGUGGGGUUUAGGGUUUUGAGGCGUGGAGAGGGGUUGAUUUGCAGUGUGGCAGAGCGGGUAGAGGCAGAGAGGAGAUGGGGCUGGUUGCCGCCGGUAAGAACGGAGCUCAUCAUUCUCGGCGGCGGCCUGCAGCGGCGGUGG